Molecule: ribosomal RNA, 492 nt
Filed under: uncultured bacterium
Lineage: Bacteria
Description: partial 16S ribosomal RNA
Rfam family: Bacterial small subunit ribosomal RNA
Source: RNAcentral
AGUGAACGCUGGCGGUAGGCCUAACACAUGCAAGUCGAACGGCGGCACAGUAAGAGCUUGCUCUUACGGGUGGCGAGUGGCGGACGGGUGAGGAAUACAUCGGAAUCUACUUUUUCGUGGGGGAUAACGUAGGGAAACUUACGCUAAUACCGCAUACGACCUACGGGUGAAAGCAGGGGAUCUUCGGACCUUGCGCGAUUGAAUGAGCCGAUGUCGGAUUAGCUAGUUGGCGGGGUAAAGGCCCACCAAGGCGACGAUCCGUAGCUGGUCUGAGAGGAUGAUCAGCCACACUGGAACUGAGACACGGUCCAGACUCCUACGGGAGGCAGCAGUGGGGAAUAUUGGACAAUGGGCGCAAGCCUGAUCCAGCCAUACCGCGUGGGUGAAGAAGGCCUUCGGGUUGUAAAGCCCUUUUGUUGGGAAAGAAAAGCAGCAGGUUAAUACCCCGCUAUUCUGACGGUACCCAAAGAAUAAGCACCGGCUAACUUCGUG